GAGUGCGCAGCUAUGAGGCCUUAGUUUUGCAAAAGCUACAGAGAAGCGUUAAGCUUCCGCACUUU
RNAcentral lists this transfer RNA (65 nucleotides) under Litobothrium nickoli. Its description in RNAcentral is "tRNA-Cys". The record is from RNAcentral. Lineage: Eukaryota; Metazoa; Platyhelminthes; Cestoda; Litobothriidea; Litobothriidae.